UAUGGGCGCGAGCCUGAACCAGCCNAGUAGCGUGAAGGAUGAAGGCUCUUUCNNGUCGUAAACUUCUUUUAUAUGGGAAUAAAGUUUUCCACGUGNGGAAUUUUGUAUGUACCAUAUGAAUAAGGAUCGGCUAACUCCGUGCCAGCAGCCGCGGUAAUACGGAGGAUCCGAGCGUUAUCCGGAUUUAUUGGGUUUAAAGGGAGCGUAGGUGGAUUGUUAAGUCAGUUGUGAAAGUUUGCGGCUCAACCGUAAAAUUGCAGUUGAAACUGGCAGUCUUGAGUACAGUAGAGGUGGGCGGAAUUCGUGGUGUAGCGGUGAAAUGCUUAGAUAUCACGAAGAACUCCGAUUGCGAAGGCAGCUCACUAGACUGUUACUGACACUGAUGCUCGAAAGUGUGGGUAUCAAACAGGAUUAGAUACCCUGGUAGUCCAAGGGCGAAUUC
Molecule: ribosomal RNA, 442 nt
Filed under: uncultured bacterium
Lineage: Bacteria
Description: SSU rRNA
Rfam family: Bacterial small subunit ribosomal RNA
Source: RNAcentral